RNAcentral lists this transfer RNA (76 nucleotides) under Streptococcus suis. RNAcentral describes it as "tRNA-Ala". It matches the Rfam family "tRNA". Rfam says of the family: Transfer RNA (tRNA) molecules are approximately 80 nucleotides in length. Their secondary structure includes four short double-helical elements and three loops (D, anti-codon, and T loops). The record is from RNAcentral. Lineage: Bacteria; Bacillati; Bacillota; Bacilli; Lactobacillales; Streptococcaceae.
GGGGCCUUAGCUCAGCUGGGAGAGCGCCUGCUUUGCACGCAGGAGGAGGUCAGCGGUUCGAUCCCGCUAGGCUCCA